RNAcentral lists this long non-coding RNA (573 nucleotides) under Numida meleagris (helmeted guineafowl). Its description in RNAcentral is "lncRNA (ENSNMEG00000014595.1)". The record is from RNAcentral. Lineage: Eukaryota; Metazoa; Chordata; Aves; Galliformes; Numididae.
ACCAAAAUAUUUUGCUGAAAGAAAUAAUUGAGACCUAUUCUUUUCACCUUUUUUUUUUUUUUUUAAUUUAGAUUGACAGCCAUGUGAAUUUUAAGAGGAGACUGCUUUCUGGAUGUUAUUUGAACUAGCAGCUGUCCAAAACUCUCAGCUUACCUCUUAUCAAGAAAGAGCAAGUCAGGGGAAAGCAUGGAUAUGCGGCACUAGAACAUCCUGAAGGCUUAGAAAUUGAAGGUAAAAUCAAACGGAAUAGUUUACAAGAAUGCAUGAUUCUUCUUUCGGUCUUCCAGUUCUUUGGGAAUGGCUUAUCGUUUUAAGCCACCUGGGACAGCAGAUGGUGCCACCAUACUGUUAACUUAGUUAUUUUCCUACUCACUUCUACCUGGUGUUUUGUCUCACAAGAGCCUGGGACGCUUACGUGUAAAACACAAUUGGGCUUUUCAAGGGUUUUAGGGGAAGAUGGCCUGGGCUGCCUUUAACAUGUCUAUAACCAGUUGCAUGUGAAGAAGAUAUGCAAGUAUUUUCCAUUUGUAUGACCGAAGUACACAGUAAAAAUACAUGAGAUUAACAAAGACA